Molecule: long non-coding RNA, 2078 nt
Filed under: Sus scrofa (pig)
Lineage: Eukaryota; Metazoa; Chordata; Mammalia; Artiodactyla; Suidae
Description: lncRNA (ENSSSCG00035059761.1)
Rfam family: Small nucleolar RNA SNORA31 (bases 661-783)
Source: RNAcentral
GCUCAGCGGUUAGCGAACCCGACUUGCAUCCAUGAGGACACCAGUGCUAUCCCUGGCCUCAUUCAGUGGGUUAAGGAUCUGGCGUUGCGGAGAGCUGUGGUGUCUGAGCCCUGCUCAGAUCCCGAGUUGCUGUGGCCUUGGUGUAGGCCAGCAGCUGUAGCUCCGAUUGGACUCCUAGCCUGGGAACCUCCAUAUACCUUUGGUGCAGCCCUAAAAGACAAACAGACCAAAAAAAAAAAAAAAAAAAAAAAAAGAAAGAAAUUAAUAAUGUCAAGUAAAUAUUUUUACAAGAUAGCUAAGUGGUCUCCAUAACUAGAGUGCCUGGAUUUGAAUCUCAGCUUCACCAGUCACUAGUCAUAUGACCUGGGGCUAGUAUGAACUCUGUGCCCCAGUUUCCUCAUCUGUAAAAUAGAGAUAAUAAUGGUAGCUUAACUCCUAGAGUUAUGAGGUGUACAUAAAUUACUCUCUCUGAGGUGCUCAGGGUACAUGGUAAGCCCUAAAAUACAAAUGGUAAAUAAUUGUUUACAACAUUUAGUGUCAUAGUGAAAUUAGAAAAUGUUGAAUUGCAAUGUUGUGUUGGUUUCAAGUGUAUGGCAAAGUGAAUCAGUCGUGCAUGCCCUUUCAUCCAUUCUUUUUCAGAUUCACUUAAGUUUUUAAAUUGUGCUUUUUUGGAGCAGUUACUAUCUGCUACUCAGGUUUCCACUACAGAUGCAAGAAGAAGGCAUCCUCAUGUUUUCUGUCUGUCUGAUUGUGGCAGCCCGGAUUGAAUGGAGGAAUACAGGGGGAAAAAAAUUAAAAAUAAAUAAAUUGUGCUUUUCGUUUUGAUUUUAAGAAGCUUUUGCAUGAUUUUUGAGUAGCAUGUAAAAACUGUUUUUUUUUUUCUGUUGCAGAUUUGGAGUUUUAAAAGCAGUUUUUACUGUCAUUAUUUUGCUGUGUCUUAAUUUGGAAGAUGGAACAACAGCCCAGACUGAGGUGAAUAAUCCUAAAUUCUUUUUCUCCUACUAUGCCUUAUAAAACUAAUUGUGACUAAGACCAUUAUGUGUGAAAUGGAUGUUACAUACUGAAGUAUGCUAUAGGAAUAGUUUGCCUGUAUUUCACUAUACUUUCCCCCAAAUGAAGGUUUAAAACACAUCAACACUUAACAAAACACACACACCUUUACGAAGUCAAAUAUUAUAAUGUAUCCCAUAACUAAAUUACAUACCUACAUUUUCUUCACUCUUAAUGAAAAAAUCUAAUUUUUUAUCCUCCAUUAUAUUCCUUAAUGAUUACUCCAUUUUCGAUUUUCAAAGAGCCACAAGUGUAAUCAAGAUAUGUUUUCGUAAUUAAGAUGCCUGAAAUUCAAUAAGCAUAAAUAUGGAAGAGAUCUUAUAGGAUUACAUAGUAAUACCCUAUUUUGAGGAAUAGACUAAUUGUUCUACCUUGGACACCUGAAAAAAACAAACUUUUUUUUUGUUAGUAACCAUAUUCUUAUGGUUAGAAAUCCUUACAGCCGUAUUAUUAGGCGUGUGAUAAAUGUCUCAGCCAGACUGUGAGCACAUGACCAAUACUUAUUAAGAACAGUAUAUUCUUUCUAACGGCUAAAUUGAAUUAUUUUUCUAACAAUUCGAAGUUUUUGCUUCAUGACCUAGUCUUCAGAGGUUGUGGUAACAUUUAAAAAUGUAGGGUUAUUUUUGGUUUUAUUUUCUAAAUGAUUUCCUUUUGCGUGUCAUUAUAGAGCGAAAUUUCUAAGUACGUAAUUAUUUUUAUUGCUUUCCUCUGGGCUCUUUCCAAGUAAUUUAAUCUUCCUUAUAUGUGGGCCAAAACUAUUAAGUUCAGUAUUCCACUUUAAAAAAAAAAACAAACAAACAGCAUUUCCUGUCGUGGCUCAGCGGUAAUGAAGGCAACUUGUAUCCAUGAGGAUGCGGGUUCAAUCUCCGGCCUCACUCAGUGGAUUAGGAUCUGGCGUUGCUGUGAGCUGUGGUAUAGUCAUAGAUUCGGCUUAGAUUCCACAUUUCUAUGGCUGUGGUGUAGGCUGGGAGCUGCAGCUCUGAUUGGACUCCUAGGCUGAGAACUUGCAUAUGCCGAGGGUAUGGCCC